This 81-nucleotide small nuclear RNA is filed under the name Rhinolophus ferrumequinum (greater horseshoe bat). The record is from RNAcentral. Lineage: Eukaryota; Metazoa; Chordata; Mammalia; Chiroptera; Rhinolophidae.
GUGCUCGAUGCAGCAGCACAUGUACUAAAAUUAGAAUGAGACAGAGAAGAUUAGCAUGGCCCCUGCGCAAGGGUGACACGC